This 538-nucleotide ribosomal RNA is filed under the name uncultured Escherichia sp. Its description in RNAcentral is "bacterial SSU rRNA". It matches the Rfam family "Bacterial small subunit ribosomal RNA", at positions 28 to 553 of the family's 1533-position model. The record is from RNAcentral. Lineage: Bacteria; Pseudomonadati; Pseudomonadota; Gammaproteobacteria; Enterobacterales; Enterobacteriaceae.
AUUGAACGCUGGCGGCAGGCCUAACACAUGCACUUUUAACGGUAACAGGAAACAGCUUGCUGUUUCGCUGACGACCGUCGGACGGGUGAGUAAUGUCUGGGAAACUGCCUGAUGGAGGGGGAUAACUACUGGAAACGGUAGCUAAUACCGCAUCACGUCGCAAGACCAAAGAGGGGGACCUUCGGGCCUCUUGCCAGUCGGAUGUGCCCAGAUGGGAUUAGCUAGUAGGUGGGGUAACGGCUCACCUAGGCGACGAUCCCUAGCUGGUCUGAGAGGAUGACCAGCCACACUGGAACUGAGACACGGUCCAGACUCCUACGGGAGGCAGCAGUGGGGAAUAUUGCACAAUGGGCGCAAGCCUGAUGCAGCCAUGCCGCGUGUAUGAAGAAUGUUUUUUUUUUUGUAAAGUACUUUCAGCGGGGAGGAAGGGAGUGAAGGUAAUACCUUUGCUCAUUGACGUUACCCGCAGAAGAAGCACCGGCUAACUCCGUGCCAGCAGCCGCGGUAAUACGGAGGGUGCAAGCGUUAAUCGGAAUUA